ACAGGGGUAGCUUAAGCCAAAGCAUCCAGCUUACAAUUGGAAGACGUACUCACACCACCCCCUUGAG
RNAcentral lists this transfer RNA (67 nucleotides) under Phyllodactylus lanei (Lane's leaf-toed gecko). RNAcentral's name for it is "tRNA-Val". Lineage: Eukaryota; Metazoa; Chordata; Lepidosauria; Squamata; Phyllodactylidae. The record is from RNAcentral.